Labeo rohita (rohu) is the source of this 1644-nucleotide long non-coding RNA. RefSeq lists it as uncharacterized. The record is from RefSeq and is a predicted model, not a curated record. Lineage: Eukaryota; Metazoa; Chordata; Actinopteri; Cypriniformes; Cyprinidae. The transcript has 4 exons.
CACUGUCAAGCAAUAAGCCAUCAGCUAUUUUUCAUCGUUUUUUAUAUAUAUAUGGCCAUCAAGGCGCAGAUUCUGCACACACUAUAGUGCUCAGCUCAUAUUGGUAUUUAAUAGGCAUCUUCUGAUGAACCGGUCACUGAAAUGCAAGAAUACGUCUUGGAGGAAGAGGACGGAGGGGCACCACUGAUCCCACAACAGGAAGUCUGCUCGACACAACAGCGCGCCGCAUCUCAAGGCUUCCUCUUCCGCAUCACUGAGCCAGAUAAAAACACUGAAUUCAGGCACCACCAACGCUGCCAUUUGCCCUCGCAACACACACACACACCUGCCAGGACGUAACGUGCAGAAGGAAGACGCGGCCGCUGCUGUCCCCACUGGAGCAGAGAGGACGUGAGCCUUUGAUGUUCCACUCAAAAUUAUUAAUUCCCCGCGUCAGGUUCUGUGUUUCAUCUACAUUUAAAGUCAAAAUCUUGAGUUUGAGCAAAGCUUCUGCUAUGCAAAUCAGCUCCUAAUGUGCAUGCUGAGUUUGCUGGCGAUGUUUAAUCUACUAUUUUUUUGAGAAAAUUAAUGACAUCUGCGUCAGUUGAUAUUGAUCUAAAAUCUACAUAGGCGCUCCCCGCUGUGCGUCAGAUGAGCUUCAUGUCUUAGCGUGGCCUUCACAUCACUAGGACAAAAGUUUGAACACAUGACUCAGAAACUCAAUCAAAUGUUUGAUCUUACAACCAAGAUGUAUUAAAAGUUUAUCAAUAGAGCAAUUGUGCAAUGACAAUUCUUUCAUCAUUUUCUCAUCCUCGGUCGUUCAAAACCCCAUCACUGACUUUCCCGUGUGGAACUCAAGUUGAGAUGUUCAUGCUGCUCUUUUCCAUAAAACAUGAAGUUAGCCCUUACAAGUCAUUAUUCACUAACAACAUCCUCAAAUCUCAUCACUCUCAUGGACAUUAAACCUAGGCAGACGUGUCUUGAAUCUCCAGGUUUGAAUAAGUAUGAGGUUUGAGAGCUACAGCAAAGAUCAAUGUUUUUCAUCAUUAAAAAGUUUUACACAUAAUGAAACAAAAUAUGCAUGCGAUCAUCUACAACCUUGUGAAAAAGAAGUAAACUCUAGCAUACUUUUAAAAUGAGUACUUGUUACGGAAAUAAUACAGUUUAAAAGAAUAUAAUUAGGGUGAUGUUGUUACAGUGUAAUUACACUGUAAUGACUAUGGAGUAAUAUUGAUUAACUACAUGUACCUUUUAUGGGGUUAGGGUUAGGUUUACGGUGUUACUUAAUUAUGCAUAAUUUACUGUUAUUAAGUACAUGUAAUAUGUAUAACUAUGCCACUGUAAAGUAUUACUAUAAUGUAAUAUAGUUUACAUUUGUAUCAAAGUAUCAAACAUAUUCAGUUAAACUUUAGAGUGUAUCUUUGACCCACUGAUGUACGUCUACAUAUGUAAUUUCAUAUGUAGCUCUAUUGUCUUUGAAAUAUGGAUAAACAUUUAUGGUAAAGGAAAAUAUACUUUAAUACUUUUCUACUGAAACGUGUAUGUGAUGUAUUUAAAUACAAUCAAAGUAAAAAGUUUACAUAUACCUUGCAGAAUCUGCAAAAUGUUAAUUAUUUGACCAAAAUGCAUGCUAUUUUUUUUAUUUAGUACUGAUAAGAUAUUUCA